ACUAUACGGCGAAACUGCGAACGGCUCAUUAUAUAAGUUAUCGUUUAUUUGAUAGCACCUUGCUACUUGGGUAACCGUGGUAAUUCUAGAGCUAAUACAUGCCAAAAAUCCCGACUUCGGAAGGGAUGUGUUUAUUAGAUUCAAAACCAAUGCCCCCUGGGCUCACUGGUGAUUCAUGAUAACCGCUCGAAUCGCACGGCCUUGCGCUGGCGAUGGUUCAUUCAAAUUUCUUCCCUAUCAACUUUCGAUGUUUGGGUAGUGGCCAAACAUGGUUGCAACGGGUAACGGAGGGUUAGGGCUCGACCCCGGAGAAGGAGCCUGAGAAACGGCUACUACAUCCAAGGAAGGCAGCAGGCGCGCAAAUUACCCAAUCCCGACACGGGGAGGUAGUGACAAUAAAUACCGAUAUAGGGCUCUUUUGGGUCUUAUAAUUGGAAUGAGUACAAUUUAAAUCCCUUAACGAGGAACAAUUAGAGGGCAAGUCUGGUGCCAGCAGCCGCGGUAAUUCCAGCUCUAAUAGCGUAUAUUAAAGUUGUUGUGGUUAAAAAGCUCGUAGUUGAACCUUGGGCCUGGCUGGCCGGUCCGCCUCACCGCGUGCACUGGUCCGGCCGGGCCUUUCCCUCCGCGGAACCCCAUGCCCUUCGCUGGGCGUGGCGGGGAAACGGGACUUUUACUUUGAAAAAAUUAGAGUGCUCAAGGCAGGCCUAUGCUCGAAUACAUUAGCAUGGAAUAAUGAAAUAGGACGCGCGGUUCUAUUUUGUUGGUUUCUAGGACCGCCGUAAUGAUUGAUAGGGACAGUCGGGGGCGUCAGUAUUCAACCGUCAGAGGUGAAAUUCUUGGACCGGUUGAAGACUAACUACUGCGAAAGCAUUCGCCAAGGAUGUUUUCAUUAAUCAGGAACGAAAGCUAGGGGAUCGAAGACGAUCAGAUACCGUCGUAGUCUUAGCCAUAAACUAUGCCGACUAGGGAUCGGGCGAUGUUAUUCUUUGACUCGCUCGGCACCUUCCGAGAAAUCAAAGUGCUGGGCUCC
Molecule: ribosomal RNA, 1030 nt
Filed under: Ophiocordyceps kimflemingiae
Lineage: Eukaryota; Fungi; Ascomycota; Sordariomycetes; Hypocreales; Ophiocordycipitaceae
Description: SSU rRNA
Rfam family: Eukaryotic small subunit ribosomal RNA
Source: RNAcentral